ACGUAGGGGGCGAGCGUUAUUCGGAAUUACUGGGUGUAAAGGGUAUGUAGGCGGCCCUUCAAGUCGCGUGUCAAAGUCCAGUGCUCAACGCUGGGUGUGCGCGCGAUACUGACGGGCUUGAGGGCUGGAGAGGAGAGCGGAAUUCCCGGUGUAGUGGUAAAAUUCGUAGAGAUCGGGAGGAACACCGGCGGCGAAGGCGGCUUACUUGACAGUUUCUGACGCUAAGACGCGAAAGCGUGGGGAGCAAACAG
This 251-nucleotide ribosomal RNA is filed under the name uncultured prokaryote. RNAcentral's name for it is "partial 16S rRNA". It matches the Rfam family "Bacterial small subunit ribosomal RNA", at positions 525 to 775 of the family's 1533-position model. The record is from RNAcentral.